GAGAAGGUAGGAAAAGAUACCAAAGGGGAGGAGACCUCUUCUGACCUGGUUUAUUUUCCACUCUCAGCUCCCACUUCCAACCUUCCGGGUUCAGCUCCAGUGUAGACGCCUUCCACUACUCUACAAACGGCUCCCGGCUGUUACCCCCAGUGCUUUCUCUUCUCCACCCUGCAAAGCCAAGGGGUAGACUCGGUGGGGCAGUCCUUUCCAUGCCUUCCGCACCUCGGGCUAUCGGCCCUUGCAAGUCACACCUUCUGAGGGAAGGAACUUACCCAAAAAGAGCAGUUUUUCAUCGUAGAGGUGCAAGCCUUUCCCAGAAAAUCCAUCCCAAGAGGCCCAGAAGUUGGGUGAAAAGCCAAACGGUACACUUCCCAGAGAACCCUUCCCCAGGGAAGCCUAGGUCUCUCCCACGCCUAGCGGCCCUCGAGGGUAGCCUCUCCUUCCUUCCUGCAAGCUCCAAGCCGGUCCCUUCCGGAGCCACUUCCAGCCACUUUAUCCUCUGAGCAUCCUUUAGCCUGUUACUCUCAGGACAGCAGCUACUUCAUCAGAAGGAGCCUACAGUCCCACGAACAUCCUGGGAUGGGAGACCUUUGAGAGCAGAGAAGGCUCCGGCCUGGGACCCGCUCUGAAGAUGUCUGUAAGCACGUGGAUUGAGCUCCUGGGACAAGACUGUGAAUUUGGGCAAGUUCCUUUCUCCAGGGGCCUGUGCGACUGACUGGAGCCCAGCUGCCUGGGGAGGCCCUGCCAACGCUGGCUCAGGAGGCCUGGUGUUUCCCUUCCCGGGGCCUGGCUGGCUACCAAAAUGGAUUCCGCUCAGGAGCUGGAACCCAGAAGAGCCUAACUGCCUGGUGGCCUUGCGGCACACUCAGCCUACCGACUGAGAUGUGAAGGUGUUUGCUUGCUUACUUGUUUGUUUGUUUGUUUGUUUGUUUGGUUUUAGUCUUUAAGAGUUCCUGGGUUUAUUGGUUUUCUGCCCGGGACUUGGGGUCACUAGAAUUUUCCCUAAGGAAGGAGAAGCUUGGGGGAACCAGACCUGUGCCAGGCCCUGAGUGGGAAUACCAGCUCCACACCCAUCCCUCUCCACCCAGCUACUAUCCUGAGUAGCACUGUUCUUUUCUGACAGGGGUCUACCGGCUUUCUUGUUGUGGUUUGCCCUGGAGUUAUCUGUAUUUUGAUGCUAAUUCCACUGCCCUGCUGACGGCUGCCUAGUCAUGUGCUCCGGACUCAGGUGACUUCACCAGAACCUUCUCCCCACUGAAUUUGUAAAGUACAGGUGAGGGCCGGUACAGGAUAGAAGGAGGCCUGUCAUUGGACGAGAAGGAAGGAUGGGCGGGAGAGAAGUUUGAAGGAAGAGGAGGAGACUGGAUCGGAAAGGAGAAGAGACAGGAGAGGAGGGAGAAAAGCUGCGGUGGAGACAACGUGGAGGCUGACGUUAAGAUUCCACGCUGUACCCUUACAGGUCUGGAGACUGCAAGAAGACCUUGCUUAGUGGCUGAUGGAUUCCAAGCCCUCCUCUUGGUUCCUGCAGUGCUGGGACUGUAAAGUCGUGUGCUGACUCUUAGUAACCGGGAUACUUCAUUCCUGAGUUGAUUGAUAUCAUGGUCCAUGGGUUAAAUGAGAUUUUCAGAAGGAAAAGAAGGAAAUAACGAUAUAUUUAAGGAGGAUGAGGAGGAAGAAAAGAAGAAGAAGGAGAAGAAGGAGGAGGAGGAGGAGGAGGAGGAGGAGGAGGAGGAGGAGAAGAAGAAGAAGAAGAAGAAGAAGAAGAAGAAGAAGAAGAAGAAGAAGAAGAAGAAGAAGAAGAAGAAGAAGAAGUUGUUGUUGUUGUUGAAGAAGAAGAAGAAGAAGUUGUUAGUUAAUUCAAGUGUUUAUUCCCAGGCUUGUUCUUGACAAACAAGAUUUUGGAAACUGUUCAUUUUUGUUCUGGAUAUUGUUUUUAAUUUUUGUAUCCUUACAUUUUAUUUCUAAAUAUUGAGAAAAAUCAGAGUUUAAAUUUUU
Molecule: non-coding RNA, 1995 nt
Organism: Rattus norvegicus (Norway rat)
Lineage: Eukaryota; Metazoa; Chordata; Mammalia; Rodentia; Muridae
Source: RefSeq, a predicted model, not a curated record